CCCCAAGUGGUGGAAUGGCAGACACCGUAGAACUCAAAAUCUACUGGAGAAAUCCAGUGCAGGUUCAAGUCCUGUCUUGGGGACCA
RNAcentral lists this transfer RNA (86 nucleotides) under Mycoplasmopsis bovis. RNAcentral describes it as "Mycoplasma bovis tRNA-Leu". It matches the Rfam family "tRNA". Rfam says of the family: Transfer RNA (tRNA) molecules are approximately 80 nucleotides in length. The record is from RNAcentral. Lineage: Bacteria; Bacillati; Mycoplasmatota; Mycoplasmoidales; Metamycoplasmataceae.